AUGUAUAAGAACCAGCUUCAGGAGCUGGCGCAGCGGAGCUGCUUCAACCUGCCGGCGUACACGUGCCUGCGGGAGGGGCCGGACCACGCGCCGCGGUUCAAAGCUGCGGUCAUCUUCAACGGCGAGCAAUUCGAGAGCCCCGGGUUCUUCACGACGCUCCGCCAGGCCGAGCAUGCUGCCGCCGAGGUCGCCCUCGCCGCGCUCGCCCGGCGCGGCCCCUCUUACUCCCUAGCCGCCCGCAUCCUGGAUGAAACAGGGGUUUACAAAAACCUUCUACAGGAAGUAGCCCAGAGAGUUGGGGCACCGUUGCCUUCAUAUACAACAGAGCGGUCUGGCCUUGGCCAUCUGCCAGUUUUCACAUGCACAGUAGAAUUAGCGGGGAUCACCUUUACAGGUGAUCAUGCUAAGAAUAAGAAGCAAGCUGAAAAAAAUGCUGCUUCUGCAGCCUGGGCUUCGUUGAAACAAUUGGCACGUGAGGAGGCGAAUACGACCAAUGAACCGGAGAACAAUGAUGAGCAGGAGCAGAUCAGGAUUGCCCGAGCCCUUCUCAACUAUCGCACGAAGGAAAAGAUAGCGAUGGCCAAUAAUCCCAAUGCUUCACCAUUUCCCAAGAAAUUUCCCAUGCAACCAGAGAGGAAGCCUUGUUUUGGUCAAUCCUCUCAGUCCAGUUACUCGAAGAUUCUUCCUCUAUUCCGGCCAAAGUCUAGUUCAAGAUCCAGACCAGAGUCACCAGCCGCGGCUGAUGGAGCAUCACAGUCACCGUUCUGGCCCAUUGAAAGCUCUAAUUCAAGGUCGAGGUUCCCGGCCGCAGAAGCAGCCCCUUAUGUCCCAGUUGGGCACUACCGUAUGCCUUGUCAUAGUAUGGCUCCUCCGGUCACAGUCAGGAGCUCUAUCCCUGUGUUCUCUGCUCCACCUCUCCCACCUCCAAGUGGACGCACACAGCAGCUUCCUCCUCUCCUGAGCAACCCACCGUCAGUCCGGAUGGCAUCCCCAGUUCACAUCAGGCCAGCUUCUCCACACUUUGCUCCCUCGGGUCCUGCGCAGCGUCCAAGACCUGUGAUGUCUGUUCAGAUGAAGGAUGUGCAGCACAAGCCAAUAAGGGAAUCGAUGUCGUCUGCGAUCCCUAUUCAGGUGAAGGAUGCGCAGCAGAGGCCAACCAAGGAAUCGCGAUCAUCUGCGAUGCCUGUUCAGGCAAAGGAUGCGCAACACCAGCUGUUUAAGGGAUCGAUGUCGUCGUCUGUGAUGCCCAUUCAGAUGAAGGAUGUGCAGCCCCAGCCAGCAAGGGAACCAUUGUCAGAAGGUAAGGACGCACCACCGGCGGCGACUGAGCCUCCGGUUAAGAUCGAGGCUCCAGCUCAAGUCAAGGAAGCUUCAGAGGUGGUCACCAGUGAAGUAGUCCCAUGCCCUGCUGUUGAUGCUGCUAGUUCUGCUUCUACUUCUACCAGUGAAUGCAGCACUGCUGCCCCAGCAAGCCAGUCUGGGGCUGAUGAUGAUGCAGCCAAGGGUGAAGAGGCGCGUGAGGACGUCCUGGAAACUGAAGCAGCACUGGAGGAGGGCAUCAUCAAGCUUUUAGAGAUAAAAUGA
RNAcentral lists this ribosomal RNA (1584 nucleotides) under Triticum aestivum (bread wheat). RNAcentral describes it as "partial small subunit ribosomal RNA". Lineage: Eukaryota; Viridiplantae; Streptophyta; Magnoliopsida; Poales; Poaceae. The record is from RNAcentral.